AACUGAUACUACCUGCGGGAACCUGCGGAGGGAUCAUUACUGAAGUGAUUUGGGGAUGUUGCUGGCCCUCUCUCAAGGGGGGGCACUGUGCACUCCUCGAAACAAUUCACAAUUUCCAUCACACCCCUUGUGCACACCUUGUAGGCACCCAAACCCACCUCCGGGUGGUGGGGUCCUAUGUAUUCCUUCAUCUCGCACUCUGUUGAAUGGUGCCAUGGGACGCAUCUAAAGGAUUAUUUG
Molecule: unclassified non-coding RNA, 240 nt
Filed under: soil metagenome
Description: partial contains 5.8S ribosomal RNA, internal transcribed spacer 2, and large subunit ribosomal RNA
Source: RNAcentral